AUUGAACGCUGGCGGCAUGCUUUACACAUGCAAGUCGAACGGCAGCGCGGGCUUCGGCCUGGCGGCGAGUGGCGAACGGGUGAGUAAUACAUCGGAACGUGCCCAGUAGUGGGGGAUAGCUCGGCGAAGGCCGGAUUAAUACCGCAUACGACCUGAGGGUGAAAGCGGGGGAUCUUCGGACCUCGCGCUAUUGGAGCGGCCGAUGGCAGAUUAGCUAGUUGGUGGGGUAAAGGCCUACCAAGGCGACGAUCUGUAGCUGGUCUGAGAGGACGACCAGCCACACUGGGACUGAGACACGGCCCAGACUCCUACGGGAGGCAGCAGUGGGGAAUUUUGGACAAUGGGCGAAAGCCUGAUCCAGCAAUGCCGCGUGUGUGAUGAAGGCCUUCGGGUUGUAAAGCACUUUUGGCGGGAACGAAAAGGACUGUGCCAAUACCACGGUUCGAGGACGGUACCCGCAGAAUAAGCACCGGCUAACUACGU
Molecule: ribosomal RNA, 483 nt
Filed under: uncultured bacterium
Lineage: Bacteria
Description: partial 16S ribosomal RNA
Rfam family: Bacterial small subunit ribosomal RNA
Source: RNAcentral